GUGAAGGCCAAGAAGCACCAGAUCAAACAGGCUGUGAAGAAGCUCUGUGACAUUGACGUGGCCAAGGUCAACACCCUGGGCAGGCCUGAUGGAGAGAAGAAGGUGUCUGCUCGACUGGCUCCC
Long non-coding RNA from Phyllostomus discolor (pale spear-nosed bat), 123 nucleotides. RefSeq lists it as uncharacterized. The transcript is spliced from 3 exons. The record is from RefSeq and is a predicted model, not a curated record. NCBI's taxonomy places the organism in Eukaryota, Metazoa, Chordata, Mammalia, Chiroptera, Phyllostomidae.